This 276-nucleotide ribosomal RNA is filed under the name uncultured bacterium. RNAcentral's name for it is "partial 16S ribosomal RNA". It matches the Rfam family "Bacterial small subunit ribosomal RNA", at positions 79 to 354 of the family's 1533-position model. The record is from RNAcentral.
CUUUCUCCGCCGGCGACCGGCGCACGGGUGAGUAACACGUAUGCAACCAGCCCCUGUCAGGGGGACAACCCGCCGAAAGGCGGGCUAAACCCGCGUACAUGCCACCGGGGCAUCCCGGAGGCAGGAAAGGCUUCGGCCGGACAGGGAUGGGCAUGCGGCGCAUUAGGCAGUAGGCGGGGUAACGGCCCACCUAACCGACGAUGCGUAGGGGUUCUGAGAGGAAGGUCCCCCACACUGGUACUGAGACACGGACCAGACUCCUACGGGAGGCAGCAG